This 601-nucleotide long non-coding RNA is filed under the name Ursus maritimus (polar bear). RNAcentral's name for it is "lncRNA (ENSUMAG00000009892.1)". The record is from RNAcentral. Lineage: Eukaryota; Metazoa; Chordata; Mammalia; Carnivora; Ursidae.
UAGAAGACUUUACAGAAGCAGAAUAAGAAACCACACUAUUAACAGUGCAUUGUCCAGAACGUGUGGGUGUACCAUACGCUGUGGAGGCCGACGGCAUGUGAGGAUGAGUCUCAAAGGCUGCAGAGAGACAGGCAUGCUUGUAAAUGAGGAAAGUAGUGCCACAGCUGAGACGCCUGAUAGAGCCGGGCCGAGGUGGGCUUGAACUGUGACAGAGAACGUGCCACUGUUUUCUGAGCCUCGGCCUCCUCCUGGGUAAAGAACUGAGCGUCAGGGGACGAGGCGGCUACCCAGACCAGCGGGGACUCCCAUGGGGCUGCAACCCAGGGCUUCUCUUCACCCACAGCAGACUCUGUCUCCUACUCUGCGCCCACCAUGGAUUGAGACUCCGGGAAUAUAUGGAAAUGGCUCCCCCCGAAGAAGAUGUAACCAUGAAGGAGCUGGGCGAGCCACAGAAGAGCUUUCACCUCGGGGAAAGGAGCAAAGUUGUGCCCCGAAUGAUCACUCCGUUGGCUGGCGAGAGUGGCUUGUCUCCCAGAAGCAGAGAGAUCCCCCUGGGGGGGUCUUUGCAGUGCGCCCCCAGGAGCCUUCAGUGAGAGGUUAA